AGAUAUAUUUAUACUUGAUCUGUCUGUUAAUUUGUUAUAUUUGCUAUCUAUGGCUAGGUUAGCUUCAUAUUUAUCCCGCAGACAUGAGAGUGGUGUUGUCACGGCUGGUUGGCACGAAAGCAAAUUAACCGUUACUGAAAGCAUCGCGUUAUUCCUCAGCAUCACUUACAAACAGGAAGAAUUACAAUCGGUGGCGCAGUAGGCCCAUAUGGCCUGAGGAACAAACGACCUCUUCAACCUGUCAGUGGCAACAAUCUUAACUGUCUUUAUCAAAUAUAUAUAAAUAUAUGUCAACAUGAAUUUAAGACAGUAGAUUUUCAUCUGAUGCUGUUUUUCUGAAAUGUAUUGACCUAGCCGAACAUCCAGAAUUCCCUCUAGAGACAAAGUUGCCAGCCACAGCUGCAGCGGUUCCUCCUGGGGAACGCUCAAAGAGAAGCCUGGCCCCUGACACAGCUGGGACUUGGUCCACAGAGAGAGAAGGAGGUGACAGGAAUGGCAUUGCCUCCAAAAAAAAUCCUGUUGGUAAUAAAUAUAUAUAUAUAUAAAUGUUGAGGAGAGAGGCUAAACUUAGAUGGGACCGAAGAAGGGUUAAGGAUGGAUUUAAUUCCAAGCCCGCCAGAUUUGUUCCUCCCUGCCUUGCCGGAUGCCAAUGUCAACUGUUCACAGCAUGGAGCCUGGCAUUGCACCCAUCACAACAAAAAGAUUAGCGCAGGGAGAGGUGCCAUGUACAAGAGAGAAGCUUCAUCCCACAAAUUAUUCCCUGUUCUGCUGGUGGUGGGGUGGAUUGUCGGCUGCCUAGCAGUUGCCUACUUUGUCUUCAUUUUUCCCUGGAAAAAAGGUAUGUGAAGAAGAAAUUGAAUUCAUCAGGGAAAUGAAGCUUUCUUUGAAGGGGACACGGAGAAGAAAAAGAUCUCUACAUCUUGAUAUUAAAUUUCUAUUAGAAACUUACUGUCAGCUUUUUUUGGCAGACAUGUGUAAUAUAUAAAUAUUAAAUGCGUAAAAUUGAGCAAUAAAUUUAAAUGGCUCUUGGCCAUGGUCCAGUGGUGAUGAUGUUAGUCUGAGAACAAAGUUUCUGUGGCUACGAGCCAUGAAUAACUGUCUGUCGUGUUAUAUUAAUCAAAUAAACAUAGAUCUGCA
Long non-coding RNA from Mugil cephalus (flathead mullet), 1137 nucleotides. RefSeq lists it as uncharacterized. The transcript has 3 exons. The record is from RefSeq and is a predicted model, not a curated record. Lineage: Eukaryota; Metazoa; Chordata; Actinopteri; Mugiliformes; Mugilidae.